CUUCAUCGAGCCCAGCCACAGCGGCUGUUCACGGUCCUGGCCGUACGCGGCGAUCAGGGCGUUGGCCUC
Molecule: antisense RNA, 69 nt
Filed under: Streptomyces melanosporofaciens
Lineage: Bacteria; Bacillati; Actinomycetota; Actinomycetes; Kitasatosporales; Streptomycetaceae
Description: ASpks TB sRNA
Rfam family: ASpks TB sRNA
Source: RNAcentral